This 849-nucleotide long non-coding RNA is filed under the name Mus spicilegus (steppe mouse). Its description in RNAcentral is "lncRNA (ENSMSIG00000005651.1)". Lineage: Eukaryota; Metazoa; Chordata; Mammalia; Rodentia; Muridae. The record is from RNAcentral.
GGGAAAUCCAAUGACAUAGAACACUGUUCCAGGUGUUAACUGUUUUUUUUUUUUGUUGUUGUUGUUGAUGAUUCUGACAUUCCAGUUGUGUGUUUAAAAGGAAGUACUGAAGGGGUUAAUGCAAAAUUUUUCUGUUCCUCAAGUAUUCAGAGAGUUAAAGCUGUGUGAAUUUGGUUCCUGGAAUUCUCUAGAGGGAAAUAAGAGGGAAAUGUAAGAAAUGCAUGAGAUGCAGAAAUGUUUUCAAUUAUGUUGCUGGAAGUAAUACGAUCUCGGGAUCUAAAGGAUGGAGGGUAAGUCUCAAUACAUGCUACCACUGUCAUUAUAUCUUCAAGACGUGAAAACAUCGCUGUGGUCCAUCUCUAUUUACUGCAAGCAGAAGGGUCAAGACAGAAAACAUAGAGGCUUUUAGUAGGAGACUGAAAUAGCUACAGUGCAAGACGGAGAGAGGCCUUCAUGCAUGGUGUGCAUUUGCCACCUAGUGACCACACUGAGUCAGUAGCAUGUCCUGUUGGUCAGCACACUGAAGAAAGACACGCAAAUCGACUGCCGGUGAGUGUGCAGUUGCUUCAACUUUUGCAAACGUGAUCUAGCAAAUAUUAUUCUUCCAAAUAGCUGUCAUUCUCAUUACCUCAUAAUCUACUCAUUCCAACUACCCCCAUUCUGACGCACUUUCCUAUUUCUGUGUCUGCUUUCUUCUAGAUGGUGGUAUUUGUCAUUCCCACCUCAAACUGGUAGCAUGACCUUGACUCCUGAAUUCUGUGGUCCCUAUACAACUGCAAGUCAUUCUCAUGCAACAUUUUGGCUUACCUUGUCUGCUGCACCUUUGUGAUCUUUAGAACACUAUGCAAG